This 434-nucleotide ribosomal RNA is filed under the name uncultured bacterium. RNAcentral's name for it is "partial 16S ribosomal RNA". It matches the Rfam family "Bacterial small subunit ribosomal RNA", at positions 29 to 507 of the family's 1533-position model. The record is from RNAcentral.
AGCGAACGCUGGCGGCAGGCCUAACACAUGCAAGUCGAACGAACCUUUCGGGGUUAGUGGCGGACGGGUGAGUAACACGUGGGAACGUGCCUUUAGGUUCGGAAUAACUCAGGGAAACUUGUGCUAAUACCGAAUGUGCCCUUCGGGGGAAAGAAUAAUUGCCUUUGGAGCGGCCCGCGUCUGAUUAGCUAGUUGGUUGAGGUAAUGGCUCACCAAGGCGACGAUCAGUAGCUGGUCUGAGAGGAUGAUCAGCCACAUUGGGACUGAGACACGGUCCAAACUCCUACGGGAGGCAGCAGUGGGGAAUCUUGCGCAAUGGGCGAAAGCCUGACGCAGCCAUGCCGCGUGAAUGAUGAAGGUCUUAGGAUUGUAAAAUUCUUUCACCGGGGACGAUAAUGACGGUACCCGGAGAAGAAGCCCCGGCUAACUUCGUG